UGAAACUGAUCUCCCCGUGAAGAAGCGGGGAUAAGUAUAUUAGACGAGAAGACCCCAUGGAGCUUUAAACCCGACAGCACCCACUUAUUUAACACCUUCUUAUCCGCCUGGCCCCUGUCUGCUCGGUUUUGGGUUGGGGUGACCGCGGAGCAUAAAAUAGCCUCCACGAAAGAAGGGAUGAUUCCCUCAUUUUAGAACUACACUUCCAAAGACUAACAAAUUAAUUUUAAGUGAUCCGAUACCCGUAUUCGAUCAACGAACCAAGUUACCCUGGGGAUAACAGCGCAAUCUACCUCAAGAGCCCCUAUCGACAGGUGGGUUUACGACCUCGAUGUUGGAUCAGGGUAUCCCAGUGGUGCAGCAGCUACCAAAGGUUCGUUUGUUCAACGAUUAAAACCCU
Molecule: ribosomal RNA, 400 nt
Filed under: Boophis reticulatus
Lineage: Eukaryota; Metazoa; Chordata; Amphibia; Anura; Mantellidae
Description: partial 16S ribosomal RNA
Rfam family: Bacterial large subunit ribosomal RNA
Source: RNAcentral